GACGAACGCUGGCGGCGUGCUUAACACAUGCAAGUCGAACGAUGAAGCCGGAGCUUGCUCUGGUGAAUUAGUGGCGAACGGGUGAGUAACACGUGAGUAACCUGCCCUUGACUCUGGGAUAACUGCUAGAAAUGGUAGCUAAUACCGGAUACGACCCUCGGCGGCAUCGCCAGGGGGUGGAAAGAAUUUCGGUCAAGGAUGGACUCGCGGCCUAUCAGCUAGUUGGUGAGGUAACGGCUCACCAAGGCGACGACGGGUAGCCGGCCUGGGAGGGUAUCCGGCCACACUGGGACGGAGAUACGGCCGAGACUCCUACGGGAGGCAGCAGUGGGGAAUAUUGCACAAUGGGCGCAAGCCUGAUGCAGCGACGCCGCGUGGGGGAUGACGGCCUUCGGGUUGUAAACCUCUUUCAGUAGGGACGAAGCGCAAGUGACGGUACCUACAGAAGAAGCACCGGCCAACUACGUGCCAGCAGCCGCCGUAA
Molecule: ribosomal RNA, 484 nt
Filed under: uncultured bacterium
Lineage: Bacteria
Description: partial 16S ribosomal RNA
Rfam family: Bacterial small subunit ribosomal RNA
Source: RNAcentral